GAUGAACGCUGGCGGCGUGCCUAACACAUGCAAGUCGAGCGAACAGACCAGGACUUUGCUCCCCCGACGUUAUCGGCGGACGGGUGAUUAACAUGUGUUUAACCUACCUAUAAGACUGGGAUAACUUCGGGAAACCGGAGCUAAUACCGGAUAAUUUAUUGAACCGCAUGGUUCCCUAGUGAAAUACGCUUUUUCGUACACUUAUAGACUGAUCCGCGCCGCAUUAACUAGUUGGUAGGGUAACGGCUUACCAAGGCAACGAUGGUUAGCCGACCUGAGCGGGUGGUCGCCCAGACUGUAAGUGAGACUGGGUCGAGACUCCUACAGGGAGAAGCAGUAGGGAAUCUUCCGCAAUGGGCGAGUGCCUGACGGAGCAACGCCGCGGGAGGGCUGAAGGUGUUCGGAUCGUAAAGCUAUGAUAUUAGUAGAGAACAAAUGUGUAAUUAACUGUGCACGUCUUGACGGUACCUGAUCAAAAAGCCACGGCUAACUACGUG
RNAcentral lists this ribosomal RNA (497 nucleotides) under uncultured bacterium. RNAcentral's name for it is "partial 16S ribosomal RNA". It matches the Rfam family "Bacterial small subunit ribosomal RNA", at positions 28 to 507 of the family's 1533-position model. The record is from RNAcentral.